RNAcentral lists this long non-coding RNA (643 nucleotides) under Callithrix jacchus (white-tufted-ear marmoset). RNAcentral describes it as "lncRNA (ENSCJAG00000075970.1)". Lineage: Eukaryota; Metazoa; Chordata; Mammalia; Primates; Cebidae. The record is from RNAcentral.
GAACCAACCGUGUGAUUGAAGGUGGAACUUUCAGCUGCACUCCUCAAUCUCUGGGGCCGGGGAUUGUAGAUGGAGGCCGAUGAACAGUUGCCAAAGAUGUCACCAGCCAUGUCCAUGUGAGGACACCUCCAUCAGAAACCCUCGCCCACGGAGUUUGGAGAGCUUCGGAGUUGGUGAACACAUCCUUGUGUGUGUGGGGGCACACCGCAAGUCCAUGGGGACACCCGAAUCUCCUGUGCUUGGGACCCCUCCAACCCUCGCCCUGGCACCAGCCCUCGCCGCGGGCACCUCCGCAUCUGGCCGCUCACUCGUGUUCCUCUCGUAUCCUCUCCAAGAAAGCAGCGGUGAUCUGUGGAGUGUGGAACAGUCGAAAUUUAAGUCUUCAAAACCUGCAUGUUCAGAGCGUCAAUAUCAUCGGUGUCCUGUAGUUUUGAUGGUAUUGCUGUUCGCUUGCUGCGCCGUGAGAGAGAAGCAGAGGAAACAGUGUGUGAUUAAGCCCGUCGGUUAUGACAAGGUAAGAGAAAUAACUUGGGGGAGGGUGAAAAUCGCACUCUGGUUCAAGGCCGUUUGGCUGAGGCACUCAGGAAAUGCACUGAUGCAGACCCAGACUCCGCAGGACAAACUCUCCUGGGUAUACAUUUGA